GUUUCCGCGGGCGCUCCGGUUUGUUGGCAAGUGCUGGGCUCGGCGUUUAGUGAUGUGUGCGAAUCAUUUUUGGGACCGUUACUUGGAGAGGCGUUAGCAAUACUAGUCGACUUGUUUGAUCGUCUUUCCAUGAAGAACCAGCUUGGAAAAGCGCAAGGAACAUCUGAUCUACGAAGAGGAUUUGGGUAAAGUAUGCCACUGUCAAUGGUGUAGCGAUGAAUGGAGGAAACUUUCCAGUGGACUUAAAUGGUACAGGAUGGCUAGAAAGCUAAGAAUAUUCUGACUGGCUGCCUGCCGAUGGAACUCAAUACAAGGAAAUUAAAAUCCUAACUUUUAUCAUUUAGUACGUAGUUCUUAUCUACGUCCUGGUUGCGGUUUAAAUAAGAGGUUGCUUAGAAUAUAAGAGGUUUUUUAGGUGAGAAGAGAGAAUUUCAUGGCAUCACGGGUUAUUAGUCACUGUUGAAACUGAUGUAAGACUAUUAAAAUAUAAUUCUUAUCCUAUUCACAUUCAAAACUAUAACUUGUUAAUAAAUUUUAGCUUAAC
Macrobrachium nipponense is the source of this 544-nucleotide long non-coding RNA. RefSeq lists it as uncharacterized. NCBI's taxonomy places the organism in Eukaryota, Metazoa, Arthropoda, Malacostraca, Decapoda, Palaemonidae. The transcript is spliced from 3 exons. The record is from RefSeq and is a predicted model, not a curated record.